AUUGAACGCUGGCGGCAGGCUUAACACAUGCAAGUCGAGCGGGGUGAUGGUGCUUGCACUAUCACUUAGCGGCGGACGGGUGAGUAAUGCUUAGGAAUCUGCCUAUUAGUGGGGGACAACAUCUCGAAAGGGAUGCUAAUACCGCAUACGUCCUACGGGAGAAAGCAGGGGAUCACUUGUGACCUUGCGCUAAUAGAUGAGCCUAAGUCGGAUUAGCUGGUUGGUGGGGUAAAGGCCUACCAAGGCGACGAUCUGUAGCGGGUCUGAGAGGAUGAUCCGCCACGCUGGGACUGGGUGACGGCCCAGACUCCAACGGGAGGCAGCAGUGGGGAAUAUUGGACAAUGGGGGGAACCCUGAUCCAGCCAUGCCGCGUGUGUGAAGAAGGCCUUAUGGUUGUAAAGCACUUUAAGCGAGGAGGAGGCUCUUUUGGUUAAUACCCAAGAUGAGUGGACGUUACUCGCAGAAUAAGCACCGGCUAACUCUGUGCCAGCCGCCGCCGUAA
RNAcentral lists this ribosomal RNA (503 nucleotides) under uncultured bacterium. RNAcentral describes it as "partial 16S ribosomal RNA". It matches the Rfam family "Bacterial small subunit ribosomal RNA", at positions 30 to 523 of the family's 1533-position model. The record is from RNAcentral.